Molecule: ribosomal RNA, 464 nt
Filed under: uncultured bacterium
Lineage: Bacteria
Description: partial 16S ribosomal RNA
Rfam family: Bacterial small subunit ribosomal RNA
Source: RNAcentral
CUACGGGGCGCUGCAGUGGGGAAUAUUGCACAAUGGGCGCAAGCCUGAUGCAGCCAUGCCGCGUGUAUGAAGAAGGCCUUCGGGUUGUAAAGUACUUUCAGCGGGGAGGAAGGGAGUAAAGUUAAUACCUUUGCUCCUUGACGUUACCCGCAGAAGAAGCACCGGCUAACUCCGUGCCAGCAGCCGCGGUAAUACGGCGGGUGCAAGCGGUAAUCGGAAUUACUGGGCGUAAAGCGCACGCAGGCGGUUUGUUAAGUCAGAUGUGAAAUCCCCGGGCUCAACCUGGGAACUGCAUCUGAUACUGGCAAGCUUGAGUCUCGUAGAGGGGGGUAGAAUUCCAGGUGUAGCGGUGAAAUGCGUAGAGAUCUGGAGGAAUACCGGUGGCGAAGGCGGCCCCCUGGACGAAGACUGACGCUCAGGUGCGAAAGCGUGGGGAGCAAACAGGAUUAGAUACCCUGGUAGUC